GAUCUUAAGAUGGACAACCAAAACUGGUUCAGGAGACAUCAGUUACAAUAUGUUGCUCUAGAGGAUGUGGGCAUGUAAUUUGAAAAGUCAGAAAGUAAUCUUUGUGUUGAUCUCUAAACAUGCAAGGCAAUAAAAAAGGUCUCAUCUUCCUACAUGCUGGUUUCAUGGCUUUUCCGUGGGGAAGAGGGAGUCUUCUUUUUUUAGUUGAUGCCUAAAUACCAUUGUCAGGGAUGUUUGUAAUCUCCAGUGGGUUAGUAUUUCAUCUAAGUCAGCUCUAGUGUGAGCCCAUAACCUUUUACUUAAGGUGAAUGUCUCAAUAGCAGUUUGUUGGGAUUGGGCAGAUUGUACUAGGCGUAGCGUACUGAGCAAUAGUUUUGGGCAAGCAAGUAGUAAUCUACUCAUGGCAAAUAAAUAAUGAAAAAUGAGAUUUCAGUGUGGAUCUGUCAGCAAGCUGGUGAGCAGAAGUACAGGCUUCUCCAGAUGUUUGAUGCAAGUGAGGUGUACGGCCAAGGCAACCAGCCUGGGGAAUGGUCCAUAGCCUCCCUGAGCUGUCCCAUCCUUGGGAUGCAGCGCCAGCAUGCAGCUCAUGGGCAAAAGGAGGCAGAGGUUUCAAUCGAGACACUUGUGGGAAUCUAAAAUCAGUUUUAAAGUUGAUUGAUGGUUAAAAUGGGGUUUUAACUGGCCUGUGGUGUCAAUCUUAUGAUCAAACCAAACCCUUCCAAAAAUUAGUGAAGAUUUAAAUUAACUCAGCUGAAGGCAGAGCUGGUUUAACAGUAUCUGAGCCAGACCUUGAAAAUGUAUUGUACAAUAGCCAAUAAUAUCCACUGAAUUACAUUAGUCUCCAGGACACAUAUGUGGUUAAAGAAGAAAAAUAGGUUCCAUCUUAUUUUAUGAAAACAAGUCGCUGAAUAAAUCUCCACGGAGAAAAAAUUAACAUAACAAACAGCAGCUGAAGUCCUUUCACGAUUGGAUUUGGUCUUAGUCAUGAUUCAGAUCCUUUUUUUUCUUUUAUCAUACCCUACGAAUAAAUCUCUCAUCCGUUCUGGAACAGCCACAGUUUUCAUAACCCAGGUCCUAUUUAUAACCCGGAGCGCUGACCCAGUGGCUAGUGAAGAGCUGGCUGGCUGUGCCCGACAGCUCUGAACUCCUGAGCGGCUGCUGACGCUGGCAGGCUGGUGUUCUACUUGAAAGCAGUUUUGUCUCAUUUAGAGUACACGGAGCUGUUGCAAGUGCCUAUCACAGUGUGCCCUGGCUUUCUGUUGUUCGUAGUUCAAUAGUUGUUAUGUUUGUUUAAAAAAACAAAACCUGUCUGAGGGUAGAUCUCCCUCUUCCCCUCCCUCCCAGUAUUUCCUGCAAGCUGUUUGUGUGCUUGUUUGGUCCUGUAUCCGACAGUGUUCAUAUUUUGGUCUGAUUCUCUCUUCACUUAGCUGUUAAUCCCUCCAAUAGAAUUUUUUCAUUUAAGAAAGAAGUUGAUUCAGAAACUAAAUAUUUUUUAAAUGGGGUGUGCUUUCCCCCUUUCUUUUCUACUUUCCGCUGGCAUCACCAUGGUUUUAUCUAUUCUAAAAUAUUCUCUUCAGUUUCACUGCUUUGGAAACACAAAACCACAAUUUGACAGCUGCGACAGAAAAGCCUUAGGUGAAAAACAUGUUCAGGAGAUCUGAGGGGUGAGUGCUGCUCCAGCUGGGAUUUUUAGCAGCAGCUUUGGGUUUGAUUACCCAAGUUCUGCCCCUCCAAGAGGGCUGCCCUAUGGGUGGGUGCGCAGCACUGACAUGGCUUUUGUGUGGACUUAAGUGGUUACUUAAAAGUCACAUGCUUUUUAAAAACCUUGAUCCCAAACUACUACAAACCAUCCAUUUGGUGUGUUACAUCUAUUUUGGGGUGCUGUGAAUGGGCUGUAGGUCUGUGUUUAAAAUGAACAGCUGAUGUGCUGGAUAUGAUCACAUCCUGCGCAGUGAGCACGAAGCCAUCACCAGGUCAGAGGAGGACCGCAAAUGUUAAGGAAUAGCCUUUUCUUUGGUCUGCUGGGUGUGUUGUUUUGACUGAGCCAGAAAAAUCUCUCUUUCCACUGCAGCCACACAGGAGGAUGUUCAAGGUCGAUCUUCCUUAUCUCAGUAAGCUGGCAGCCACCACCUGCAGUGCAGGGGCAGCCGGGGAUCCAGGUUGAUUUUACCCUGACCUCUUCCCUGGGUUUCUCAGCUGGAGGACAAGAGGGGCUGGUCUGCUCCCAGGCUCUGCCUCCCUCCCAAGUUCAUUUCUGCUCUGGCCACAGCUGGUCCCAGGAGACAAACAGGCAAAAACUGCAGCCACCGCAAAAUGUGAAGUACAGAUGGGACUGUGGGACUGUGAGGGCCGCCCGGGGAGCUGCCGUGUUAGGGGGAUGUGCAUUCGUUAUGGUGGAGCACCUACUGGGGAAGGUCCUGCUCCCCACUUUGGUCCCCAGCCCCCUCAAAGCCUCUGGCCUGGAGGAGCAGCAAUCGCCAUCUCUGAGCAGCCAGUGGCUCCCUGUCACCCCAGCAGUGCCUAUGGCUCCUUACCCAGCACAAUACCCACAAGUUGAGGGUUCUUUCCCCCACAGAUGGCCCUAAGCACCUUAACCUGGAGCCCAGGCUGGAUUUGGCUCAUCUGAACAUGGUGGUGACUCCUGGGCAGUACGAGGUCCCCCCACACCUGACUUGGUCCAUGCUUUAUCCUCUUCGUAAACCAUGUCCAUUAUGAUCACAGAAACGUGCAAACUGCCUGAACCAUGCGCUGUGUAAGACAAGUGAAAUAAAUAAUCCACAAGCAGAACUGCUUUUAGAAUUAAGUUGACCCCAGGUGUUUUAGGGUUUCACUGUAGUCUGCUGCACUUUUCAGGUACAAAAAGGGACUGUCCUUACUAUUACUCUUGUUACAGAGAGUGUUAUUUUCUUACAUGCAUGCACAAUACAAUGUGUACGAAUAAUUUAACAUCGAUGUGGGGUUGGAUUUUUUUUUUUUUUAACCUAUUUGUAUGCAGUAGAAGGCUUGUUGUAGAAAAGUAUCUCCUCAUACCUAAAUAUACUGUUAAUAAAGAAAAAAAGCUAAAUUAUACAUUGCCAACACAAGUGUGAACUGCUCAUGAAUCUUUCCUUAAAAAAGCCAUUCAAGCCUGAUUAUUUUUCUAAGUAACUUCAAUUAAAUUGAAGAAAGAAA
Molecule: long non-coding RNA, 3171 nt
Filed under: Strigops habroptila (Kakapo)
Lineage: Eukaryota; Metazoa; Chordata; Aves; Psittaciformes; Psittacidae
Description: lncRNA (ENSSHBG00005015619.1)
Source: RNAcentral